This 292-nucleotide ribosomal RNA is filed under the name uncultured bacterium. RNAcentral's name for it is "partial 16S ribosomal RNA". It matches the Rfam family "Bacterial small subunit ribosomal RNA", at positions 773 to 1060 of the family's 1533-position model. The record is from RNAcentral.
GUGGAUUAGAUACCCUGGUAGUCCUGGCCCUAAACGGUGCACGUUUGCUGUAAGAGGAAUCGACCCCUUUUGUGGCGAAGCUAACGCGUUAAACGUGCCGCCUGGGAAGUACGGCCGCAAGGUUAAAACUCAAAGAAAUUGACGGGGGCCUGCACAAGCGGUGGAGUAUGUGGCUUAAUUCGAUGCAACGCGAAGAACCUUACCUGGCCUUGACAUGCACAUAGUAGAAGCCUGAAAGGGUGACGAGGUAGCAAUACCAGUGUGCACAGGUGCUGCACGGCUGUCGUCAACU